RNAcentral lists this ribosomal RNA (253 nucleotides) under uncultured bacterium. RNAcentral describes it as "partial 16S ribosomal RNA". It matches the Rfam family "Bacterial small subunit ribosomal RNA", at positions 524 to 776 of the family's 1533-position model. The record is from RNAcentral.
GACAGAGGAUGCAAACGUUGCUCGGAAUUACUGGGCGUAAAGCGCGCGCAGGCGGUCUUGUAAGUCGGGUGUGGAAUCCCGGGGCUCAACCCUGGAAGUGCACUCGAUACUGCGAGACUUGAGUACUGGAGAGGAGAGCGGAAUUCCCGGUGUAGAGGUGAAAUUCGUAGAUAUCGGGAGGAACACCAGUGGCGAAGGCGGCUCUCUGGACAGAUACUGACGCUGAGGCGCGAAAGCGUGGGAAGCAAACAGG